GCCGCGGUGGUGGAACUGGUAGACGCACUGGACUCAAAAUCCAGCGCCCGCAAGGGCAUGAGAGUUCGAGUCUCUCCCGCGGCACCA
Molecule: transfer RNA, 87 nt
Filed under: Candidatus Magasanikiibacteriota bacterium
Lineage: Bacteria; Candidatus Magasanikiibacteriota
Description: Candidatus Magasanikbacteria bacterium tRNA-Leu
Rfam family: tRNA
About the family: Transfer RNA (tRNA) molecules are approximately 80 nucleotides in length. Their secondary structure includes four short double-helical elements and three loops (D, anti-codon, and T loops). Further hydrogen bonds mediate the characteristic L-shaped molecular structure. tRNAs have two regions of fundamental functional importance: the anti-codon, which is responsible for specific mRNA codon recognition, and the 3' end, to which the tRNAs corresponding amino acid is attached (by aminoacyl-tRNA synthetases). tRNAs cope with the degeneracy of the genetic code in two manners: having more than one tRNA (with a specific anti-codon) for a particular amino acid; and 'wobble' base-pairing, i.e. permitting non-standard base-pairing at the 3rd anti-codon position.
Source: RNAcentral